This 116-nucleotide ribosomal RNA is filed under the name Phascolarctos cinereus (koala). The record is from RNAcentral. Lineage: Eukaryota; Metazoa; Chordata; Mammalia; Diprotodontia; Phascolarctidae.
GUCUACAGCCAUACCACCCUGAACAUGCUUGAUUUUGUCUUAUCUCAGAAGCUAAGCAGAGUUGGGCCUAGUUAGUACUUAGAUGUUAGACCAACUGGGAAUGAGUGCUGUUUUUU